Long non-coding RNA from Gossypium raimondii (Peruvian cotton), 638 nucleotides. RefSeq lists it as uncharacterized. The record is from RefSeq and is a predicted model, not a curated record. Lineage: Eukaryota; Viridiplantae; Streptophyta; Magnoliopsida; Malvales; Malvaceae. The transcript has 2 exons.
CCUCUAUAGUUUCGGCUCUUCUUCUACCGUUUUCAAUGAUUUUAGUCAAAAUCCCCAAUUUCUUUUUCUUCUCCUUCUUCCCUCAAUCCAAGUUGCUGCUUCCGGCACCGCCGGAGGUUGGCCUCCCUCAACCCAAAUCGCAAAACUAACUGCAGUAAAUGAAAAUCUUUGAAUUUGAAAACCAGAGAAGAAUAUGCCUCACUUGGAUUCUCCUGCCAUGGCUUGUAAUUCCUCCACUUCUCCGAACCACACGAAAUUUUGUUUCAUUCAAGAUUCGCAGGAAGAAUGUGUGAAUUUUAUAUAUUCUUGUAUGGAUUGUAUUUUUAGGGUUUUCAAUAUUGGAUUCAAGCGCGAUUGGAUGCGAUAAUUGUUUUAAAAUUAGGGUAAGUGAUUGGCUUUUAAAUCUAGCUGGGGACUUUGUUUAGAUGGGAAAAUCAGGGUCUGGAUACAAAGAAGGAAGGAAGAUGAUAAUCAAACGAAUGACUGUCAAGAGAUAUGUUUUUUUUUCUUUUGUGGUUUUUUUCAUUGGGAUGGUUUAUCUUCAAGUGAUAAUUGUUUGCUUUCAAAUGAGUCUUUUGUUAAGAGAUCGUUUAUGUUUUAUAUUUCGUUAAAAUUUGAUUGUAUUGUUGAUUCCUUUA